Molecule: unclassified non-coding RNA, 379 nt
Filed under: uncultured Actinomycetes bacterium
Lineage: Bacteria; Bacillati; Actinomycetota; Actinomycetes
Description: uncultured actinobacterium contains 16S-23S intergenic spacer region
Source: RNAcentral
UCCGAGUUGACCCCGGCAGUCUCCCAUGAGUCCCCGCCAUUACGCGCUGGCAACAUGGAACGAGGGUUGCGCUCGUUGCGGGACUUAACCCAACAUCUCACGACACGAGCUGACGACAACCAUGCACCACCUGUGAACCGGCCCCAAAGGGGAAACCACAUUUCUGCAGCGGUCCGGUCCAUGUCAAGGGCUGGUAAGGUUCUGCGCGUUGCGUCGAAUUAAACCACAUGCUCCACCGCUUGUGCGGGCCCCCGUCAAUUCCUUUGAGUUUUAGCCUUGCGGCCGUACUCCCCAGGCGGGGAAUUUAAUGCGUUAGCUUCGGCACGGACGGAGUCGACACCGCCCACACCUAGUUCCCAUCGUUUACGGCGUGGACUAC